CCAAGAGUUGGACACCCCAUGGACUCCUUGUUAGACUAGGUUUUAUGACCUAGUCUACCAUAUAAAAAAGUUGCAGCCCCAUAUGCUAUGAAAUAAGAGUAAAAAAUUUAUGGCUUUUAGAUAAAAAUAGCAGAGGAGAAAGAGGAAGGCAUGGGUGGUUUGAGACACCAAAAUCCUUGGAGAAGAGUCUUCUAUCAAGAGAUCAAAAUUUGAUGUCUUGUAGAAACAAAAGGUA
This 235-nucleotide long non-coding RNA is filed under the name Elaeis guineensis (African oil palm). RNAcentral's name for it is "long non-coding RNA (EGUI_LNC069375)". Lineage: Eukaryota; Viridiplantae; Streptophyta; Magnoliopsida; Arecales; Arecaceae. The record is from RNAcentral.